This 83-nucleotide transfer RNA is filed under the name Billgrantia campisalis. RNAcentral's name for it is "tRNA-OTHER". The record is from RNAcentral. Lineage: Bacteria; Pseudomonadati; Pseudomonadota; Gammaproteobacteria; Oceanospirillales; Halomonadaceae.
GCGCGGCCUGGAGUUGUCGAAAAACGGAUUCAAAAUCCGCCGGGUGCAAGCCCUUGUCGGUUCGAGUCCGACCGCCGGUACCA